GCGGGACACCUGGCCUUCAGUGAUAGUUCUGCCAUUUGCCAAUUGCUUUGAAGUCUCGUUUCUUCAUUUCUAAAAUUGGGCUGUUAAUAACAUGCUCAAAGUGUUGCAAAGACGAAGUGAGACCAUAUCAUGAGAGUGCUGGCCUCAUAGAGAGAGAGAUGGUGUCUUUCUUAAUUUCCUGUGCCUUGUCAAUCAUAGGCGCUUAAUAUUUGACCCAUUUGACUAUGACUCAAGGACUCUGGCAGGCUGAGUUGAGCUCCUUCCCACAUUCCAGGCCAUUCCCACCCUAUCCAAGUGCAUCAACGACCUCCAGGGGGCCAGAGAUGCAGAACCUGAAGCCCAGAGCAGGGACAUUAUU
Molecule: long non-coding RNA, 358 nt
Organism: Lontra canadensis (Northern American river otter)
Lineage: Eukaryota; Metazoa; Chordata; Mammalia; Carnivora; Mustelidae
Exons: 3
Source: RefSeq, a predicted model, not a curated record